GGAAUAUUGGUCAAUGGGCGAGAGCCUGAACCAGCCAUGCCGCGUGGAGGAAGACGGCUUUCUGAGUUGUAAACUCCUUUUAUCAGGGAAGAAAAGGCCCUUGCGAGGGACAUUGCCGGUCCCUGAUGAAUAAGCACCGGCUAACUCCGUUCCAGCAGCCGCGGUAAUACGGAGGGUGCAAGCGUUGUCCGGAUUUAUUGGGUUUAAAGGGUACGUAGGCGGUCCUUUAAGUCUGUGGUGAAAGCCCACCGCUCAACGGUGGAACUGCCAUGGAUACUGGAGGACUUGAGUGCCGUAGAGGUAAGCGGAAUUGAUGGUGUAGCGGUGAAAUGCAUAGAUACCAUCAAGAACACCAAUAGUGAAGACAGCUUACUGGACGGUAACUGACGCUGAGGUACGAAAGCGUGGGUAGCG
This 414-nucleotide ribosomal RNA is filed under the name uncultured bacterium. RNAcentral describes it as "bacterial SSU rRNA". It matches the Rfam family "Bacterial small subunit ribosomal RNA", at positions 358 to 770 of the family's 1533-position model. The record is from RNAcentral.